UCGAAGUCCCUUGGAACGGGGCGUCACAGAGGGUGAGAAUCCCGUACGCGACCGACGGUCCAAGCCCGUGUGAGGCCCUUUCGACGAGUCGAGUUGUUUGGGAAUGCAGCUCAAAAUGGGUGGUAAAUUUCAUCUAAAGCUAAAUACCGGCCAGAGACCGAUAGCGCACAAGUAGAGUGAUCGAAAGAUGAAAAGCACUUUGGAAAGAGAGUUAAAAAGUAUGUGAAAUUGUUGAUAGGGAAGCGCUUGCAACCAGACUCGCCCGCGGGUGAUCAACCGUCCUCCGGGGCAGUGCACUCUCCCGCGGUCGGGCCAGCAUCGGUUCGGGCGGCCGGACAAAGGCCCGGGGAACGUGGCUCCCUUCGGGGAGUGUUAUAGCCCCGGGUGCAAUGCGGCCAGCCGGGACCGAGGACCGCGCUUUUUGCUAGGAUGCUGGCGUAAUGGUUGUCAGCGACCCGUCUUGAAACACGGACCAAGGAGUCGACCAACAGUGCGAGUGUUUGGGUGCCAAACCCAUGCGCGUAAUGAAAGUGAACGGAGGUGGGAACCCCUCGCGGGGCGCACCAUCGACCGAUCCUGAUGUCUUCGGAUGGAUUUGAGUACGAGCAUUUUUGGUCGGACCCGAAAGAUGGUGAACUUUGCGUGGAUAGGGUGAAGCCAGAGGAAACUCUGGUGGAGGCUCGCAGCGGUUCUGACGUGCAAAUCGAUCGUCGAAUCUGCGUAAAGGACUAAUCGAACCAUAGUAGCUGGUUCCAGCCGAAGUUUCCCUCAGGAUAGCAGUGACGUUUUCAGUUUUAUGAGGUAAAGCGAAUGAUUAGCGACCUUGGGGGCUUAGAGCCCUUAAUCGAUUCUCAAACUUUAAAUAUGUAAGAUGCCCUUGUUGCUUAG
RNAcentral lists this ribosomal RNA (888 nucleotides) under Rhexophiale rhexoblephara. RNAcentral's name for it is "LSU rRNA". It matches the Rfam family "Eukaryotic large subunit ribosomal RNA", at positions 180 to 1094 of the family's 3401-position model. The record is from RNAcentral. Lineage: Eukaryota; Fungi; Ascomycota; Lecanoromycetes; Ostropales; Sagiolechiaceae.